GAUGAACGCUAGCGAUAGGCUUAACACAUGCAAGUCGAGGGGCAGCAUGGUCUUAGCUUGCUAAGACUGAUGGCGACCGGCGCACGGGUGCGUAACGCGUAUGCAACUUGCCUCACAGAGGGGGAUAACCCGUCGAAAGACGGACUAAUACCGCGUACACUCCAUCUUGGGCAUCCAAGGUAGAGGAAAUGAAAUUCGCUGUGAGAUAGGCAUGCGUCCCAUUAGCUAGUUGGUGAGGUAACGGCUCACCAAGGCGACGAUGGGUAGGGGAACUGAGAGGUUGAACCCCCACACUGGUACUGAGACACGGACCAGACUACUACGGGAGGCAGCAGUGAGGAAUAUUGGUCAAUGGGCGAGAGCCUGAACCAGCCAAGUCGCGUGAAGGAUGACUGUCUUAUGGAUUGUAAUCUUCUUUUAUACGGGAAUAACAAGAGUCACGUGUGACUCCCUGCAUGUACCGUAUGAAUAAGCAUCGGCUAACUCCGUG
Molecule: ribosomal RNA, 490 nt
Filed under: uncultured bacterium
Lineage: Bacteria
Description: partial 16S ribosomal RNA
Rfam family: Bacterial small subunit ribosomal RNA
Source: RNAcentral